CCCCACCUAGUCAACGAUGGAUAGGGGUUCUGAGAGGAAGGUCCCCCACAUUGGAACUGAGACACGGUCCAAACUCCUACGGGAGGCAGCAGUGAGGAAUAUUGGUCAAUGGGCGAUGGCCUGAACCAGCCAAGUAGCGUGAAGGAUGACUGCCCUAUGGGUUGUAAACUUCUUUUAUAAAGGAAUAAAGUCGGGUAUGCAUACCCGUUUGCAUGUACUUUAUGAAUAAGGAUCGGCUAACUCCGUGCCAGCAGCCGCGGUAAUACGGAGGAUCCGAGCGUUAUCCGGAUUUAUUGGGUUUAAAGGGAGCGUAGAUGGAUGUUUAAGUCAGUUGUGAAAGUUUGCGGCUCAACCGUAAAAUUGCAGUUGAUACUGGAUGUCUUGAGUGCAGUUGGGGCAGGCGGAAUUCGUGGUGUAGCGGUGAAAUGCUUAGAUAUCACGAAGAACUCCGAUUGCGAAGGCAGCCUGCUAAGCUGCAACUGACAUUGAGGCUCGAAAGUGUGGGUAUCAAACAGGAUUAGAUACCCUGGUAGUCCACACGGUAAACGAUGAAUACUCGCUGUUUGCGAUAUACGGCAAGCGGCCAAGCGAAAGCGUUAAGUAUUCCACCUGGGGAGUACGCCGGCAACGGUGCAACUCAAAGGAAUUGACGG
This 653-nucleotide ribosomal RNA is filed under the name uncultured bacterium. Its description in RNAcentral is "bacterial SSU rRNA". It matches the Rfam family "Bacterial small subunit ribosomal RNA", at positions 263 to 916 of the family's 1533-position model. The record is from RNAcentral.